This is a long non-coding RNA of Gadus morhua (Atlantic cod), 1668 nucleotides long. Lineage: Eukaryota; Metazoa; Chordata; Actinopteri; Gadiformes; Gadidae. The record is from Ensembl.
GUUGCGUGAAAGCAGGUUUGCAGGUUAGGAGGAUACAAUGUUUAAAUUCGCCGUCUACUACUUGUUUGAUAAAACACUUAAAGUGGAAAGUACGUCGGUCAUUCUUGGUAGCGACCAGUUCACCCAAGUGGCAUCCCAGCCGGACUUAGAUGACGAUGCGAACUGGAUUGAAAUAAAAUGGCCCACGAGAAAAGAACCAAACAGGACGGUGCCUGCUAAGGUGCUGUUAUUUGGAGAUUCCUACAAAGAACUUGUGUCGAAGAAGAAUUUAUUCCUUCUCGGUAAGGAUAUCUGGGCCAAGGAAGAAAGAAGGGGUGUGCGCAUGAAAAAGAAGAUGUGUGAGACCGACGUAGUGAAGCCUAAAACGUCCCAACAGGCAGAGCAAACCAGGAUUAAAGAGGCAGCCAGGGACCAGGUGUUACAAAACCUGAAGACUUGCCUGUCUCAGAAAAGGGCCCUGGACACACAAGAUCACCUCUACAGUUCUGAGAACGAAUCUCCACAACGUGUUCAUGGGGGAAAGCGAGCAAAGAUUAACAAGGCAGCAAGACGUGUGCUUUUACCCCUGGCAUCCAGUCCAACUUCUGAUGACGCUACAUCCAUAGGAAGUCCACAACGGCAUGACAUUUUUCAAGACCAUGCCUCAGAUGAAGAGUUGGGUUUCUCCCAAGCCCAGAGAAUGCUGACGGAUGAUAAUACUGGUCAUGGUAUGGCACCUGGAAUGAAUGAAAUCAUGUCAUGCCUUCAUGGUGGCUGUUCAGAUUGGAAUUAGAGGGGUUGACAUGUCAGAACACAGUAUGUUUAUUAAACAAUGGUGUUUCCACAUUAUUUAUUGUCCUGUACUGAGUUUAAGUACCAUUACUUUUACUAACUAACAAACCAAAUGUUUUCCCACUUAAUAUUACAUUCAUCUAGACCUGCCAGAAAUGAUUAAAUUAAUGAGGGAGUGUGUGGAGUGUGUCCGGGCAUUGAUGUCUUCUAGAGAGACCCCUUCAUUUGCAGCGUCAUCAUCUUCUGUGGACAGUGAAAUUGAAAUGCACCCCUUGGCAGGCAGCACAGUGAUUGUUUCAAAGAGGGCUUUCCUGCGGCUGAAUAGAUCUCGCAUGACCAUUUUUGCCCAGGAGCUGGCUGUCCUGGUAUUCACAAAGGAGGGCCUUGCACAGUCCACCCUAACUGGAAAGUCUCGGAAGGGGGGGCCGCCAAAAACACAGCUUGAUGUUGACAAAGUGCAGGCUAUUACAGAUGCUGUUCUUCUGGAAUUCCGACAGACCACUGUCUCUGAUGUGCGCGCGGCCAUCAGACGAAAAUGCAACAAUGAGCAGUUCAGCCAAAGAAACACACACCACGGAUAAUAUGUGGUGUGUGUUUCUGUAUGGUGGGAGGGGUUAGGCAGGAAUGUUAAGGAAUUAAGAAAUGUUGUCUUUCAUUGUUAUUUCUGUUGUGUUCUGUUAAGUUUAUGUGAAAUGUUUAUUCUGCUGAAAUGUUUAGUUCUGGUCUGCUGCCAUAAUGUAAGUGUUCAUACAUUGGUUGUAAGUUUUUUGUAUGUACUAUAUGGUACAAAUACAUAAAAAUAUAUUUUUUCACCUGGAAGUAGUCUCACAAGUCUUUCAGCCUUGAGUACCCUGGUAAUACAUUUGCAAGUAUGUGCAAGGUAAAAAGUAACAUGGC